Molecule: long non-coding RNA, 3277 nt
Organism: Carassius gibelio (silver crucian carp)
Lineage: Eukaryota; Metazoa; Chordata; Actinopteri; Cypriniformes; Cyprinidae
Exons: 2
Source: RefSeq, a predicted model, not a curated record
UUCACUUCCUCUGCCUGCUGUGGAUGUCCUGAGCUCUGUUUUUGUGUUGGCUCCCGGUUUGACUGAACUACAGCAGUCAUGUGCACCACCAUCAUGGUCCUGAGCACCAUCGCUCUCCUGCUGCGACAGAUGUUCAUCAACCGCGUCAAACCACAGACAGAUGUGAACGGGACAAAGGAAAAGCCACAUGAGAGCGAUUCAACAGCUUCAGAAAAAUAAUAAUAAGAGACAUCAUUCAUCCGGCCGAGACUGUGAGCACAGAACGAAACUCAGUCCAGCCUGGGAGGAUCUUCUCAGGGACACUUUCACGAAGUAAACGCUCAUCCUGAAAUAUUUAAGAGCAUUGUCAGAUUGAGUACAAGACGACACGCAUGCAGCGCACACAAAAGAGAGGAAAAGGGUUGUGUGUGACUCCACUGGACGACUCCAUUUCCAACACAGCGAGGACUGUUUGAACCGGACACAGGAGGAAUAAUAGCAUCUGUGAAAAAGUGCUUUCAGGACAGGAGCCAUGAACUUGCUCUGUGAGUGCUGUCCGUGAACACAGACGCAGCGCCCUGUAAAUCAUUCAUACACAACACCCGGCCAUCAGCCGCUCGCAGGACUGGACCAGCAGACCCCUUCAUCGUCCCCAACACCAUCUCCAUCCAGACAUGUUAUUAACUGACACGAGAGAAGGAAAGAGUAUGUGACUGGAAGAGUUUAAAUGAGUAAUAGAUGCUCGUCUGAUGGAGGCAGUUCAGUGCAUGAAACAUUGAUGCCUUCACAUGUCAGCUCUCUCUGUGGAUGUGAGUGUGUGUUUACCUCGCUUCAGUGAUCACACACACACACACUCACACUCUCACACACACACACACACACACACUCACACUCUCUCUCACACACACACACACACACACACACACUCCACAGCAGUCAGAUCUUCAGCUCAGCGUACUCUAGUUUCCUGUAAUGGUCAAUCCAAAUUAAUUGUUUCUCAUAGUCCUUUUAAUUACUUUCAUUAAUGCGAACUCUUUAAUAGCUCAAUAGUUUCUCUUAGCAAUGAUGUUGAAUGAAGAUCAAACUUAUUUUCUCUUUAUUUGUCUCCUGGGGCCCUCAGUAAUCCACGAGAGACCAUCUGAACCACAGAAAAAAUGCUUUGGGAAAUAACAAUUAUAACAAGUCAUAAUUAUGAGAUAAAAUGUAAACAUUAUGAAAUAUUACGCCGUAAUUAUGAGACAAAAAUUCAUAAUUAUGACAAGUGUGAGGUAAAAACUCAGACAGGGAGAAUUAUGAGAUAAAAAGACGGCAGUCAAAACUGAGAUAAAUCUACAUUAUGAAAUAAAAAGCCAUACCUCUGAAAUGAAAAUUAAAAGAUUUUAACCCAUAAUAUUGAGACCAGAAGUCAUCAUUAUUACAGUAAAACUUAUGAGAUAAAACUUGAAAUAACAAAAUUAUGAGAUAAGUUACAAUUAUGAGACAAAAGUCAUAAUUAUGAAACAAAGAGCCAAAAUUAUGUCAUUCAAAAUUGAGAUUAAAAACUUCAAACUGACAAUCACAAUUAUGAGAUAAAAACCUGAAAUUUUGAGUCACGAUUAAUAGAUAACAAAUAAAGCUAUGAGAUAAGUCACAAUUAUGAGACAAAGUCAUAAAUAUUGUACAGAUAGCCAAGAUUAUGUCAGUCAAAAAUUAGAUAACAAAACGUGAAACUAUGACUGUCACGAUUAUAAGAUAAAAACUUGAAAUGAUGAGUCACGAUUAAUAGAUAACAACUAAAGCUAUGAGAUAAGUCACAAUUAUGAGACAAAAAGUCAUAAUUAUGAGGCAGAAAGCCAAAAUUAUGUGUCAAAAUUUUUAUAAAUGAACUCGAAACUAUGACUGUCACUAUUAUGAUAUUAGAAAAAUCUAAAUGAAAUACUAAGCCAUAAUUAGGAUAAUUUUUAAAAGUUAAAAUUAAAAAAUCAUAAUUUCAAAGUAAAAAGUAUAAUCAUAAGAAGCCAAAAUUGUACUAUAUCAUACUUAAAUAUGACAUUGAGUGAGAAGACACUAAGCCACAAUAAUGAAACAAAGUCAAAAUUGAAAUAAAAAGUACUAAAUCAUGAGUCAAAAUUGAGAUGCCAUAAUUAUUACAUAAAAACCCAGACAUUUUUUCAUAAUGACUCUAAUGAUUAACUCAAUUUUGCUUUACCAGAACUCCAUGAAGUCUUCUGAGAUUAACAUUAACAGUAAAAUCUUCAUUAUACUCCCUCAUGUAACUCUGGUCUCUCAGGUGCUCUUUGGACACAAGGCUCAUGUCUCAGAAUUCGUGAUUAUUUGUGGUUGAAGAUCUGACCAGGGAAACUCAAACCACACCGUCCCGCUCCAAACAUCUGUGUGCUCCUGCAUUCAAUCCCAGGUGUCUUCAAAGAGCCCGGAAACCUCCGAUUCUACAGACCUACACGAGACGCAAAUAACGUUUCAAUCUGCCAUGUGUUUAUGAUCUCAAACAAGAAAACAUCUUGUAGAGUCCAUAAACACCCAGAUGGAAGUCCAGGAGAUGAUUGGGGUCUGGGUAAAAAAAAAGAGUCCAUUAAGUCAACAAUAAAGGCAUAGACAAAAUCAUUAAUAGAGCACUAGAUAUUUGAUAAACUAUUAAUAUAUAGUAAAACGAUAUAGUAAAGUGAAAAGUUCUUUCUGUAAAUAAUUAAACUCAGACCCUGUUACCAACAUUUGUAAGACAAAAUGAUUAAACACAUAUUGUUCUUUAAGAAUAUAAACAUAAGAUUGCAAAACUGCGAAGCAACUUUUGAUCCCGAACUUGUGAUUCAUAAUUCAUUUAGGCCAAAUUUGCAUGUGUGUUCUGCCAUGUUUUAAAAGUGUGAAAUGUGAAAACUGUUUAUUUGAAACCAACUGAACGUUUUGCUUUAAGAACAAUAAAAUGAGUUAUGAUCUAUGAAAUAUGACUUAGUUUAAUAUGUUUCUCAAGUGUGAUUUUAUUGUUGUAAUACUAUAGUAGAACACUUAUUAGAUGGUCACAAGACUAAAAAACUUGAAAUUAUUAAUAACUUAGUUUGCUUGAAUGAAAAAUGCCUUAAUUCUGCUGUAAAUAAUAGGAAGUACAUGCAUAAUUCAUGAAUUUGACCCACAGAUGUUUUAGACUGACACAUGAUUAAUGUCAUCAGAGUUUCCAGCAGCAACACUCAUAAUAAAACACGUUCAUCUUUAUCACACAGACGCUGUGUUGAAAUAUUGUGUUUUCCCGUCUCUAGCCUUUUGAAGGCUCUUUACUGUUAAUAAAUCUGAUUCAUUUUCUGGACAA